RNAcentral lists this long non-coding RNA (496 nucleotides) under Malus domestica (apple). Its description in RNAcentral is "long non-coding RNA (MDOM_LNC013779)". Lineage: Eukaryota; Viridiplantae; Streptophyta; Magnoliopsida; Rosales; Rosaceae. The record is from RNAcentral.
UGUUUUGAUCUAAUCAUGUAAUGUUAUAUUGAAAUAAGCUAAUAUAUAAUCUUGUAUUAUUAGCUAGAAUAUUACGAUGACGGUGAAAUUGUUAUGUAUUUUAUUAUUCAACACAUAUUAUUGUUUUAGCUUCAUUGCCUAGUAAGUGAGAUGAAAAUCUUCACCAUGACAAAGUGGGGCUCAUUGGGUUCAUUCUUUAUUAUAAACAUGAGAGUAAGUUACAUGACAUAAGUACAUAAUUAUGAUAAUAUCUUGUGUUAAGGAUACAAUGUCAUAUAAAAAAUUAAACAUUUCCCUUUAUAGCAUCAGGCACGAGAAGUUACGAUCAAUAUCAUAAAAGUCCUUCUACAUAAGCACACAAACUUUGUAUAUUUUUCUUUAUUAAGAAAAUAUUAAGAAAAACAUAUUUGAUAAAUCAUAUUUGCGCCAUACCUCUAAUAAAAAAAAUAGUUUACAUGAAACAGAUAACCGUUACGUGAUGUCAUGUUCCAAAUAA